This 462-nucleotide ribosomal RNA is filed under the name uncultured soil bacterium. RNAcentral describes it as "bacterial SSU rRNA". It matches the Rfam family "Bacterial small subunit ribosomal RNA", at positions 26 to 486 of the family's 1533-position model. The record is from RNAcentral.
AGAUUGAACGCUGGCGGCAUGCCUUACACAUGCAAGUCGAACGGUAGAGUAGCAAUACUUGAGAGUGGCGAACGGGUGAGUAAUAUAUCGGAACGUGCCCAGUCGUGGGGGAUAACGUAGAGAAAUUUACGCUAAUACCGCAUACGGUCUAAGGAUGAAAGCGGGGGACUCGCAAGAGCCUCGCGCGAUUGGAGCGGCUGAUAUCAGAUUAGGUUGUUGGUGAGGUAAAAGCUCACCAAGCCGACGAUCUGUAGCUGGUUUGAGAGAACGACCAGCCACACUGGGACUGAGACACGGCCCAGACUCCUACGGGAGGCAGCAGUGGGAAUUUUGGACAAUGGGCGAAAGCCUGAUCCAGCAAUGCCGCGUGCAGGAAGAAGGCCUUCGGUUGUAAACUGUCUUUGUACGGUAACGAACGGUCUGUCUUUAAUACGAGCGGACUAAGUGACGGUACCGUAAGAA